CCACUUGAACCCCUGCCCUGGGCUUCUUCCCCUACUAGGCUUCUCAUGCCUCCACCAGCCAGAGUCCACCCAUCAGGAGGUCUCAAAACCAAUGGACGCCCACCCAGACCUCAGAACAUUAUUCCCAGCAGUGGGAAAGAGGUGAUCCUUCCUGAUCUGGUGUCCGCUCCACCCCCAACCCCUGCGCCAUCAUCUGCAAGCUGGAGAGCACUCGGGUCCUCAUCCAGAUCUCAGAGCAAUGUCAUUGGCAGCCAGAAAGAGGUAUUAGGACCGGAUUCUGUGGAUACUGCUGUGCAGUCUUUCUUAUACAGAGAAAAUUAUAUUUGGAAGGAACUGGACAAGUAUUUGCAGCAUCAGGAGUUGUUGAAUUUGAGAAGACAGGAAUUGCUGCAUAAGCAAUGGUUUGAGAGUGUUUCUAGACCUCUGCUCAGUGCAGUUUCACAGAAAAUCGAGAGCCAGUCAUCAAGAGAUAUUGAGAGAAGACGACAAGUUCAGUUAGCAGAAUAUUUAAAAUAUCAAAAGGAAAAGGGCACUCUGUUUUUGGAACAAUAUGAUCCUGAAGAGUAUGAUCCAUUUCAACAUAAAAAACUGGGUCAACUGGAGGUUAAAAUCCCACACUUGCGGGAUCCUUUGAAUCAAGCGGCAGAGGACAGACUUGAGGAGGAUAGAACCCUACUGCAAUGUCAGACAGGAAAGUUGUAUACGGUUCAAGAGUACAAAGACAUCGUUGAAGCUAGGAGGAGAUUACGGAGGUUGCAGUGGCAGCGGUGGUGGUGAAAACAGAUCGGGACAGUCUUUACAUCAAGGUCAACAUCCCCUGAGAAGCCGACCCUAAACCACAAGGGAAAAGCCUCAGGAAAACCAUAGGUGAAUAUUUAGGAGAGAGCCAAGAUUCCUGUCAAAAGCUAGAAGAGUUUAUUUGAAGAGAAAAACAUAUAGGAAAGGAAGAAAGGAUAAUACCGCAAACCCAUCUGGUUUUAGAUUAAAAACCUGGAUCAUUAAAAUGUGUUCUGGCAACCAAA
Molecule: RNA transcript, 1022 nt
Organism: Ornithorhynchus anatinus (platypus)
Lineage: Eukaryota; Metazoa; Chordata; Mammalia; Monotremata; Ornithorhynchidae
Gene: FAM228B
Gene name: family with sequence similarity 228 member B
Exons: 8
Source: RefSeq, a predicted model, not a curated record